Molecule: long non-coding RNA, 1120 nt
Filed under: Zonotrichia albicollis (white-throated sparrow)
Lineage: Eukaryota; Metazoa; Chordata; Aves; Passeriformes; Passerellidae
Description: lncRNA (ENSZALG00000000640.1)
Source: RNAcentral
GGAAUUACCCUGGGUUUGGUCCCUGUCUCACCUGGGGGACGAUUCCAUCUCCCUCCAGGGCAUGGAUUACCCCGGGUUUGGUCCCUGUCUCACCUGGGGGAUGAUUCCAGCCUGCUCUAGAUCAGGGAUUAUCCCGGGUUUGGUCCCUGUCUCACCUGGGGGAUGAUUCCAUCUCCCUCCAGGGCAGGGAUUAUCNAGAAAUGAACAGAGCCCUCACUGAGAAAUGAACAGAGCCCUCACAGAAAUGAACAGAUCCCUCACUGAGAAAUGAACAGAUCCCCUCACUGAGAAAUGAACAGAUCCCCUCACAGAAAUGAACAGAUCCCUCACUGAGAAAUGAACAGAUCCCCUUACUCAGGAACAGAUCCCCUCACAUGAGGGGCACAAAUCCCCUCAGAAGGAGCAGAUCUCACUCAGGGGCACAGAUCCUGUCACUGAGAAAUGAACAGAUCCUGUCACUGAGAAAUGAACAGAGCCCUCACAGAAAUGAACAGAUCCCUCACUGAGAAAUGAACAGAUCCCUCAUUGAGAAAUGAACAGAUCCCUCACUGAGAAAUGAACAGAUCCCUCACUGAGAAAUGAACAGAUCCCUCACAGNAUCCCUCACUGAGAAAUGAACAGAUCCCUCACUGAGAAAUGAACAGAUCCCUCACAGAAAUGAACAGAUCCCUCACUGAGAAAUGAACAGAUCCCCUCACAGAAAUGAACAGAUCCCUCACAGAAAUGAACAGCGCCCCUCACAUGAGGGGCACAAAUCCCCUCAGAAGGAGCAGAUCUCACUCAGGGGCACAGAUCCCCUCACUCAGAAAUGAACAAAUCUCACUUGAAGAACAGAUCCCUUCACUCAGAGAAGAACAGAUCUUCACUCUCAGGGGCAUGGAUCUCACUCAGAAAUGAACAAAUCUCACUUACAAAUGAACAAAUCUCAUUCAGAAAUGAACAAAUCUCAUUCACUCAGAGAAGAACAGAUCUUCACUCUCAGGGGCACGGAUCUCACUCAGAAAUUAACAAAUCUCACUUAGAAAUGAACAAAUCUCAUUCAGAAAUGAACAAAUCUCAUUCAUUCAGAAAUGAACAAAUCUCACUCAGAAAUGAACAAAUCUCACUCACUCAGAAAUGA